RNAcentral lists this transfer RNA (63 nucleotides) under Liposcelis bostrychophila. Its description in RNAcentral is "tRNA-Ile". The record is from RNAcentral. Lineage: Eukaryota; Metazoa; Arthropoda; Insecta; Psocodea; Liposcelididae.
AUUAGUAUACCUUAUUUAAAGGACUAUCUUGAUGAGAUAAAAAUGGGCCUGUCUCUAUUAGUG